UGGGGAAUAUUGGACAAUGGGGGCAACCCUGAUCCAGCGACGCCGCGUGUGUGAAGAAGGCCUGCGGGUUGUAAAGCACUUUUAGUGGGGAUGAAAAGCCAAGGGUUAAUACCCUUUGGUCUUGACCUAACCCAAAGAAAAAGCACCGGCUAACUCUGUGCCAGCAGCCGCGGUAAUACAGAGGGUGCAAGCGUUAAUCGGAAUUACUGGGCGUAAAGCGUGCGCAGUCGGUUAUCUAAGUCGGAUGUGAAAUCCCCGGGCUCAACCUGGGAAUUGCAUUCGAUACUGGAUAGCUAGAGUUCGGCAGAGGGAAGCGGAAUUUCGGGUGUAGCGGUGAAAUGCGUAGAUAUCCGAAGGAACAUCAGUGGCGAAAGCGGCUUCCUGGACCAGAACUGACGAUCAGGCACGAAAGCGUGGGGAGCAAACA
RNAcentral lists this ribosomal RNA (427 nucleotides) under uncultured bacterium. RNAcentral's name for it is "bacterial SSU rRNA". It matches the Rfam family "Bacterial small subunit ribosomal RNA", at positions 355 to 774 of the family's 1533-position model. The record is from RNAcentral.